GAUUAACGCUAGCGGCAGGCCUAAUACAUGCAAGUCGAACGGCAGCACGGGUAGCAAUACCUGGUGGCGAGUGGCGCACGGGUGCGUAACGCGUAUGCAAUCUACCUAUAACUGGGGAAUAGCCUUCCGAAAGGAAGAUUAAUACCGCAUAAUAUCACGAAGCGGCAUCGUUUUGUGAUCAAAUCUCCGGAGGUUAUAGAUGAGCAUGCGUGACAUUAGCUAGUUGGUGAGGUAACGGCUCACCAAGGCUACGAUGUCUAGGGGGUCUGAGAGGAUGAUCCCCCACACUGGUACUGAGACACGGACCAGACUCCGUACGGGAGGCAGCAGUAAGGAAUAUUGGACAAUGGGCGCAAGCCUGAU
RNAcentral lists this ribosomal RNA (363 nucleotides) under uncultured bacterium. RNAcentral's name for it is "bacterial SSU rRNA". It matches the Rfam family "Bacterial small subunit ribosomal RNA", at positions 28 to 387 of the family's 1533-position model. The record is from RNAcentral.